UGGCUCACUGGUUAAGAGCACUGGCUUGCUCUUCCAGAGGAUCUGGGUUCAAUUCCUAG
RNAcentral lists this transfer RNA (59 nucleotides) under Neotoma lepida (desert woodrat). The record is from Rfam by way of RNAcentral. Lineage: Eukaryota; Metazoa; Chordata; Mammalia; Rodentia; Cricetidae.